RNAcentral lists this transfer RNA (73 nucleotides) under Calliotropis micraulax. Its description in RNAcentral is "tRNA-Trp". The record is from RNAcentral. Lineage: Eukaryota; Metazoa; Mollusca; Gastropoda; Seguenziida; Calliotropidae.
AGGGUUUUAGAUUAAAAAUAAAAAUCGAGAGCCUUCAAAGCUCUAGUUGGGCUAUAAAGUUGCUCAGACCUUG